AAAUGAUGAUGAGGACAUUGGCUUAUGAGGAGAUUAUAAUGUUCCCAUGCUUCAUGAAACGUUUCACCAUUCUAUUGGGUAAAAAAGUGAAUCUUAUCCCUUAUUUC
Small nucleolar RNA from Neltuma alba, 107 nucleotides. The record is from RefSeq and is a predicted model, not a curated record. NCBI's taxonomy places the organism in Eukaryota, Viridiplantae, Streptophyta, Magnoliopsida, Fabales, Fabaceae.